This is a long non-coding RNA of Acanthaster planci (crown-of-thorns starfish), 1051 nucleotides long. Lineage: Eukaryota; Metazoa; Echinodermata; Asteroidea; Valvatida; Acanthasteridae. The record is from RefSeq and is a predicted model, not a curated record.
GGCGGUUGGUUGAAUUUAUAAAGAUUCGCUCGUCGACCACCAUCUGAAAAGGAUGGGCCCGCCUGAUGGCUUUGUACUGUGAUUGGCCAUACGCCGAGCAAGACCUGUGACUGUGAGGUUGUCGCUUCCUACUUUGAGAGACGGCUUGCCCCUUUGCCGGAAGAUGAUAGGAUAAUGCUGGAGUAAUCGGACCAUAACAAGAUCUGAGACAAAAACACUGAUAUUAACCUCAGACGGUGAUAAGUCCAUAGGAGCAGUGUGGCAUAUCAGAACAUCAACGGGCCGGGAACGCGCCGCAGCCUCGAGCCGUUUUGGGCAAGAUCGGGACAACCUUGUUUGACGACUGGUCAAACUUGCUGGUACACCCAGAGUAGCCUACAUUUUUUGCACAUGUUGAAAGCGACAAUUAGUCGUCACUCGAACUUACAAUUACUCAACACUAUGAGCUGAGGUUUUUAGGGUCCCACAGUCAUGGGCGUCGCACGGUGAUUUUGGGGUUGGUCUUGCCACUUGGGACGGAUGAAAAAUUAAACAGUACAAAGAGGGAAAGCGAAAAAGAUGGGAAAAAAAGAUUCAAUGGGAUGGAAACAUCAGCCUGUUGAAAAAAAAAAUCGAUGCCCUCCAGCAGCUACGUUUUUAUGGGGAGGGGGGGAUGAGUACUUUUCCCCCGGAAAAUCCUUGUGAAAAACAAAAUCCUGGCGACGCAUGAAACUAAAUAAUUACUCUUAGUAUGAAAAGACUCGACGACAUUAACUCUUCCAUAGCCCAGGUCAUUUUUAAAGCAGGUCGUUUUGUAGCUGUAAUAAGUGCAUGUUUUGUGAAAUCAAACAUAUGGUCAAUAGCGAUAAGAUUAUGAUUUUUGAAAUUUUCAAAAUAGCGGCUACCAUUGUAUCCAGUCAGGAUUCGGGGAUGAUGUACACAGAAACACGUUGAAGUUGGCAGAUGAAGAAAAUAUUCUCAAAAGGGUUUAACCUGGUACCAAAUUGUAUGGCAUGCAAGUACCGCUUGCUAGUGCGAGUGACUAAAAUCCUUUUAAAAACUCCUGUGAAAA